UGGCGGACGGGUGAGUAACGCGUGGGUAACCUGCCUCAUACAGGGGGAUAGCAGCUGGAAACGGCUGGUAAUACCGCAUAAGCGCACAGUACCGCAUGGUACCGUGUGAAAAACUCCGGUGGUAUGAGAUGGACCCGCGUCUGAUUAGCUAGUUGGUGGGGUAACGGCCUACCAAGGCGACGAUCAGUAGCCGACCUGAGAGGGUGACCGGCCACAUUGGGACUGAGACACGGCCCAA
RNAcentral lists this ribosomal RNA (238 nucleotides) under uncultured bacterium. RNAcentral's name for it is "partial 16S ribosomal RNA". It matches the Rfam family "Bacterial small subunit ribosomal RNA", at positions 96 to 334 of the family's 1533-position model. The record is from RNAcentral.